RNAcentral lists this ribosomal RNA (493 nucleotides) under uncultured bacterium. RNAcentral's name for it is "partial 16S ribosomal RNA". It matches the Rfam family "Bacterial small subunit ribosomal RNA", at positions 27 to 507 of the family's 1533-position model. The record is from RNAcentral.
GAGUGAACGCUGGCGGUAGGCCUAACACAUGCAAGUCGAACGGCAGCACAGUAAGAGCUUGCUCUUACGGGUGGCGAGUGGCGGACGGGUGAGGAGUACAUCGGAAUCUACUUUUUCGUGGGGGAUAACGUAGGGAAACUUACGCUAAUACCGCAUACGACCUACGGGUGAAAGCAGGGGAUCUUCGGACCUUGCGCGAUUGAAUGAGCCGAUGUCGGAUUAGCUAGUUGGCGGGGUAAAGGCCCACCAAGGCGACGAUCCGUAGCUGGUCUGAGAGGAUGAUCAGCCACACUGGAACUGAGACACGGUCCAGACUCCUACGGGAGGCAGCAGUGGGGAAUAUUGGACAAUGGGCGCAAGCCUGAUCCAGCCAUACCGCGUGGGUGAAGAAGGCCUUCGGGUUGUAAAGCCCUUUUGUUGGGAAAGAAAAGCAGCAGGUUAAUACCCCGCUGUUCUGACGGUACCCAAAGAAUAAGCACCGGCUAACUUCGUG